UACGUAGGAGGCAAGCGUUGUCCGGAGUUACUGGGCGUAAAGGGCCCGCAGGCGGUGGAGUAAGUUUGGAGUGACAGUUCCCAGCUUAACCGGGAAAGGACUUCGAAAACUGCUCGACUUGAGGACUGGAGAGGAGUGUGGAAUUCCCGGUGUAGCGGUGAAAUGCGCAGAUAUCGGGAAGAACACCCGUGGCGAAGGCGGCACUCUGGGACGGUACUGACGCUGAGACGCGAAAGCGUGGGGAGCGAACAGG
This 253-nucleotide ribosomal RNA is filed under the name uncultured bacterium. Its description in RNAcentral is "partial 16S ribosomal RNA". It matches the Rfam family "Bacterial small subunit ribosomal RNA", at positions 524 to 776 of the family's 1533-position model. The record is from RNAcentral.